CGGCAAAAGCUCAAAUUUGAAAUCUGGCGCCUUCGGUGUCCGAGUUGUAAUUUGAAGAAGGUAACUUUGGAGUUGGCUCUUGUCUAUGUUCCUUGGAACAGGACGUCACAGAGGGUGAGAAUCCCGUGCGAUGAGAUGCCCAAUUCUAUGUAAAGUGCUUUCGAA
Molecule: ribosomal RNA, 165 nt
Filed under: Debaryomyces sp.
Lineage: Eukaryota; Fungi; Ascomycota; Pichiomycetes; Serinales; Debaryomycetaceae
Description: partial large subunit ribosomal RNA
Rfam family: Eukaryotic large subunit ribosomal RNA
Source: RNAcentral